GCUCAGGAUGAACGCUGGCGGCGUGCUUAACACAUGCAAGUCGAACGAGAAGAGAUGAGAAGCUUGCUUCUUAUCAAUUCGAGUGGCAAACGGGUGAGUAACGCGUAAGCAACCUGCCCUUCAGAUGGGGACAACAGCUGGAAACGGCUGCUAAUACCGAAUACGUUCUUUCCGCCGCAUGACGGGAUGAAGGAAGGGAGGCCUUCGGGCUUUCGCUGGAGGAGGGGCUUGCGUCUGAUUAGCUGGUUGGAGGGGUAACGGCCCACCAAGGCGACGAUCAGUAGCCGGUCUGAGAGGAUGAACGGCCACAUUGGGACUGAGACACGGCCCAGACUCCUACGGGAGGCAGCAGUA
Molecule: ribosomal RNA, 354 nt
Filed under: uncultured bacterium
Lineage: Bacteria
Description: bacterial SSU rRNA
Rfam family: Bacterial small subunit ribosomal RNA
Source: RNAcentral